RNAcentral lists this small RNA (1091 nucleotides) under Pongo abelii (Sumatran orangutan). RNAcentral's name for it is "processed transcript". The record is from RNAcentral. Lineage: Eukaryota; Metazoa; Chordata; Mammalia; Primates; Hominidae.
UUUCAAGGCGAAGCUGGCGGCGGAGCGGGAGCGGGUGGAGGAUUUGUUUGAGUACGAAGGGUGCAAAGUGGGACGCGGCACCUACGGUCACGUCUACAAGGCGAGGCGGAAAGAUGGGAGUUGAGGGAGAACUGUAAGAACACCUUGGGAAGCCUUUACUGGUUGUCCUCUUAAGAAGAGCUGGAUAAUGUACUGAGAAUGCCUAUCCUUCCUUGGUCCUGGAGGGCAGACAGCAGCUACAGCAGGACUGGUGGAACCAGCUUCCUGGCAGGAAUUACCCUCCCCCAAGGUUAGGGACCCAGGAAGAUGCACUGUCCAGCAUAGACUUUAAAGAGAAUCAGACUCUACGGAAGGGGAUUGUAACGUAACAUUUCUGAAUAAAGUGAUGAUCAGCCACAAUGACAUUAGUACAAUUUGAAGUGCCGCUUAUCUCUGUGCGCGCUGUUAUAAUUUGAUGUGGUUGGUAUAUGAACUCUAGGACUAAAGUAGGUUGUGUGCGUAUGCACUAAUUUCAUAAAACAACUCUAUAAAGUGUUUUGUCAUAAGGUAUCGUGAAAAUUGCAAAGUACUAUCCAAGUGUAAAGGAUUAUUAUUAUUAUUGCAGAGUUUUUUUUUUUUCUCUUGUAAUAACUGAACAGGCCUUAAGGUACUCAGUUGUUUCUCAUAAUUCCUUUAAUUACCAGGUGUCCUUGAAUGCUUAUCAUGGAAUGUGAGGUACUAGAAUUAACAUAUUUUGAUUUUGGAAUAUCCACUCCACCUGUUAUACUAGUGUUCUUGUGGGAAUUUUAUCAGAUAUAUUUGGGGAAAUCACAUCCAGUUUUCCUGUUUGGACAUUGUUAAUAAAUCUGAGGUGGAUUUUUCCCCUACUCCUCAUGCUAACUUUGUAAUAUACUUUAGGUUUUAAAAAAUGUAUCUUAGUGUUUUUUUUUUGUUAAAAUAGCUUUCUUUUAUUAGGGAACUUUUGAGAAGUUAAGAAUUCUGCUUCUGAAUUGUAUUUGAAUAGUAUGGGCUUACAACAAAAACCAGAUAAUUCCUGCUUCUAUUCUUUUUGAAUAUUUUUCCCCUCUAAUAAAGUACUUGAUUCGAAUACA